This 468-nucleotide ribosomal RNA is filed under the name uncultured bacterium. Its description in RNAcentral is "partial 16S ribosomal RNA". It matches the Rfam family "Bacterial small subunit ribosomal RNA", at positions 28 to 507 of the family's 1533-position model. The record is from RNAcentral.
GACGAACGCUGGCGGCGUGCUUAACACAUGCAAGUCGAACGGAAAGGCCCUGCUUUUGUGGGUUGCUCGAGUGGCGAACGGGUGAGUAACACGUGAGUAACCUGCCCUUGACUUUGGGAUAACUUCAGGAAACUGGGGCUAUUACCGGAUAGGAGCUCCUGCUCCAUGGUGGGGGUUGGAAAGUUACGGCGGUUGGGGAUGGACUCGCGGCUUAUCAGCUGGUUGGUGGGGUAGUGGCUUACAAGGGCUUCGACGGGUAGCCGGCCUGAGAGGGUGACCGGCCACAAUGGGACUGAGAUACGGCGCAGACGCCUACGGGAGGCAGCAGUGGGGAGUAUUGCACAAUGGGCGGAAGCCUGAGACAGCGGCGCCGCGUGCGGGAUGACGGCCUUCGGGUGGUAAACCGCUGUCGCCUGUGACGAAGCGUGAGUGACGGUAAUGGGUAAAGAAGCACCGGCUAACUACGUG